RNAcentral lists this ribosomal RNA (433 nucleotides) under uncultured bacterium. Its description in RNAcentral is "partial 16S ribosomal RNA". It matches the Rfam family "Bacterial small subunit ribosomal RNA", at positions 29 to 507 of the family's 1533-position model. The record is from RNAcentral.
AACGAACGCUGGCGGCAUGCCUAACACAUGCAAGUCGAACGAGACCUCCGGGUCUAGUGGCGCAUGGGUGCGUAACGCGUGGGAAUCUGCCCUUGUGUUCGGAAUAACAGUUGGAAACGACUGCUAAUACCGGAUGAUGACGUAAGUCCAAAGAUUUAUCGCCCAAGGAUGAGCCCGCGUAGGAUUAGCUAGUUGGUGAGGUAAAGGCUCACCAAGGCGACGAUCCUUAGCUGGGUUGAGAGGAUGCUCAGCCACACUGAGAGUGGGACACGGCCCGGACUCCUACGGAAGGCGGCAGUGGGGAAUAUUGGACAGUGGGCGGAGGGCUGAACCAGCAAUGCCGCGUAAGUGAUGAAGGCCUUAAAGUUGUAAAGCUCUUUUACCCAGGAUGAUAAUGACAGUACCGGGAGAAUAAGCUCCGGCUAACUCCGUG